RNAcentral lists this ribosomal RNA (262 nucleotides) under Shigella flexneri. RNAcentral's name for it is "partial 16S ribosomal RNA". It matches the Rfam family "Bacterial small subunit ribosomal RNA", at positions 1 to 259 of the family's 1533-position model. Lineage: Bacteria; Pseudomonadati; Pseudomonadota; Gammaproteobacteria; Enterobacterales; Enterobacteriaceae. The record is from RNAcentral.
AAAUUGAAGAGUUUGAUCAUGGCUCAGAUUGAACGCUGGUGGCAGGCCUAACACAUGCAAGUCGAACGGUAACAGGAAGCAGCUUGCUGUUUCGCUGACGAGUGGCGGACGGGUGAGUAAUGUCUGGGAAACUGCCUGAUGGAGGGGGAUAACUACUGGAAACGGUAGCUAAUACCGCAUAACGUCGCAAGACCAAAGAGGGGGACCUUCGGGCCUCUUGCCAUCGGAUGUGCCCAGAUGGGAUUAGCUAGUAGGUGGGGUA